This 253-nucleotide ribosomal RNA is filed under the name uncultured bacterium. RNAcentral describes it as "partial 16S ribosomal RNA". It matches the Rfam family "Bacterial small subunit ribosomal RNA", at positions 524 to 776 of the family's 1533-position model. The record is from RNAcentral.
UACAGAGGGGGCGAGCGUUGUUCGGAAUUACUGGGCGUAAAGGGCGCGUAGGCGGCCUCUUAAGUCGAACGUGAAAUCCCCGGGCUCAACCCGGGAACUGCGUCCGAUACUGGGAGGCUUGAAUCCGGGAGAGGGAUGUGGAAUUCCUGGUGUAGCGGUGGAAUGCGCAGAUAUCAGGAGGAACACCAAUAGCGAAGGCAGCUCGCUGGGACGGUACUGACGCUAAGGCGCGAAAGCGUGGGGAGCGAACAGG